Molecule: ribosomal RNA, 490 nt
Filed under: uncultured bacterium
Lineage: Bacteria
Description: partial 16S ribosomal RNA
Rfam family: Bacterial small subunit ribosomal RNA
Source: RNAcentral
GAUGAACGCUAGCGAUAGGCUUAACACAUGCAAGUCGAGGGGCAGCAUGGUCUUAGCUUGCUAAGACUGAUGGCGACCGGCGCACGGGUGCGUAACGCGUAUGCAACUUGCCUCACAGAGGGGGAUAACCCGUCGAAAGACGGACUAAUACCGCGUACACUCUAUGUUGGGCAUCCAAUGUAGAGGAAAUGAAAUUCGCUGUGAGAUAGGCAUGCGUCCCAUUAGCUAGUUGGUGAGGUAACGGCUCACCAAGGCGACGAUGGGUAGGGGAACUGAGAGGUUGACCCCCCACACUGGUACUGAGACACGGACCAGACUCCUACGGGAGGCAGCAGUGAGGAAUAUUGGUCAAUGGGCGAGAGCCUGAACCAGCCAAGUCGCGUGAAGGAUGACUGUCUUAUGGAUUGUAAACUUCUUUUAUACGGGAAUAACAAGAGCCACGUGUGGCUCCCUGCAUGUACCGUAUGAAUAAGCAUCGGCUAACUCCGUG